RNAcentral lists this ribosomal RNA (492 nucleotides) under uncultured bacterium. Its description in RNAcentral is "partial 16S ribosomal RNA". It matches the Rfam family "Bacterial small subunit ribosomal RNA", at positions 29 to 507 of the family's 1533-position model. The record is from RNAcentral.
AGUGAACGCUGGCGGUAGGCCUAACACAUGCAAGUCGAACGGCAGCACAGUAAGAGCUUGCUCUUACGGGUGGCGAGUGGCGGACGGGUGAGGAAUACAUCGGAAUCUACCUUUUCGUGGGGGAUAACGUAGGGAAACUUACGCUAAUACCGCAUACGACCUACGGGUGAAAGCAGGGGAUCUUCGGACCUUGCGCGAUUGAAUGAGCCGAUGUCGGAUUAGCUAGUUGGUGGGGUAAAGGCCCACCAAGGCGACGAUCCGUAGCUGGUCUGAGAGGAUGAUCAGCCACACUGGAACUGAGACACGGUCCAGACUCCUACGGGAGGCAGCAGUGGGGAAUAUUGGACAAUGGGCGCAAGCCUGAUCCAGCCAUACCGCGUGGGUGAAGAAGGCCUUCGGGUUGUAAAGCCCUUUUGUUGGGAAAGAAAAGCAGCAGGUUAAUACCCCGCUGUUCUGACGGUACCCAAAGAAUAAGCACCGGCUAACUUCGUG